UAGUCCUGGCCGUAAACGAUGGGCACUAGAUUGAGGGCCUUCGGGCUUCUCUUUCGUAGCUAACGCGUUAAGUGCCCCGCCUGGGGAGUAUGCGCGCUAAGCGUAAAACUCAAAGGAAUUGACGGGGCUCACACAAGCGGUGGAGCAUGUGGUUUAAUUCGAAGCUACGCGAAGAACCUUACCCAGACUUGACAUGGACGGAUUAGUCUCCGGAAACGGAGAUGACGCCCUUCGGGGUGGAACGUUCACAGGUGUUGCAUGGCUGUCGUCAGCUCGUGUCGUGAGAUGUCGGGUUAAGUCCCUGAACGAGCGAAACCCCUGUUGUUAGUUGCCAGCACGUAAUGGUGGGGACUCUAACAAGACCGCCGUGGUUAACACGGAGGAAGGUGGGGACGACGUCAAGUCAUCAUGGCCCUUAUGUCUGGGGGCUACACACGUGCUACAAUGGGGUGGUACAGAGGGGCGCCAAUAUCGCGAGAUGGGAGGGAAUCCCUAAAGCCAUCCCUAGUUCGGGAUUGAAGGG
RNAcentral lists this ribosomal RNA (523 nucleotides) under uncultured bacterium. RNAcentral describes it as "bacterial SSU rRNA". It matches the Rfam family "Bacterial small subunit ribosomal RNA", at positions 791 to 1305 of the family's 1533-position model. The record is from RNAcentral.